This 254-nucleotide ribosomal RNA is filed under the name uncultured bacterium. RNAcentral describes it as "partial 16S ribosomal RNA". It matches the Rfam family "Bacterial small subunit ribosomal RNA", at positions 524 to 776 of the family's 1533-position model. The record is from RNAcentral.
UACAGGAGGGGCAAGCGUUAUUCGGAAUUAUUGGGCGUAAAGGGCGCGUAGGCGGCCUGGCAAGUGGAAGGUGAAAUCCCUCGGCUUAACCGAGGAACUGCCCUCCAAAACUGCUUGGCUUGAGUCCGGGAGAGGUGAGUGGAAUUCCCAGUGUAGCGGUGAAAUGCGUAGAUAUUGGGAGGAACACCAGUGGCGAAGGCGGCUCACUGGACCGGAACUGACGCUGAGGCGCGAAAGCGUGGGGAGCAAACGGG